Molecule: ribosomal RNA, 253 nt
Filed under: uncultured bacterium
Lineage: Bacteria
Description: partial 16S ribosomal RNA
Rfam family: Bacterial small subunit ribosomal RNA
Source: RNAcentral
GACGUAGGGCGCAAGCGUUGUCCGGAAUUACUGGGCGUAAGGGGCUCGUAGGCGGCCAACUAAGUCAGACGUGAAAUCCCUCAGCUUAACUGGGGAACUGCGUCUGAUACUGGAUGGCUUGGAUUCGGGAGAGGAAUGCGGAAUUCCAGGUGUAGCGGUGAAAUGCGUAGAUAUCUGGAGGAACACCGGUGGCGAAGGCGGCAUUCUGGACCGAUAUUGACGCUGAGGAGCGAAAGCCAGGGGAGCAAACGGG